RNAcentral lists this ribosomal RNA (819 nucleotides) under Leuconostoc mesenteroides. Its description in RNAcentral is "bacterial SSU rRNA". It matches the Rfam family "Bacterial small subunit ribosomal RNA", at positions 54 to 854 of the family's 1533-position model. The record is from RNAcentral. Lineage: Bacteria; Bacillati; Bacillota; Bacilli; Lactobacillales; Lactobacillaceae.
CAUGCAAGUCGAACGCACAGCGAAAGGUGCUUGCACCUUUCAAGUGAGUGGCGAACGGGUGAGUAACACGUGGACAACCUGCCUCAAGGCUGGGGAUAACAUUUGGAAACAGAUGCUAAUACCGAAUAAAACUUAGUGUCGCAUGACACAAAGUUAAAAGGCGCUUCGGCGUCACCUAGAGAUGGAUCCGCGGUGCAUUAGUUAGUUGGUGGGGUAAAGGCCUACCAAGACAAUGAUGCAUAGCCGAGUUGAGAGACUGAUCGGCCACAUUGGGACUGAGACACGGCCCAAACUCCUACGGGAGGCUGCAGUAGGGAAUCUUCCACAAUGGGCGAAAGCCUGAUGGAGCAACGCCGCGUGUGUGAUGAAGGCUUUCGGGUCGUAAAGCACUGUUGUAUGGGAAGAACAGCUAGAAUAGGAAAUGAUUUUAGUUUGACGGUACCAUACCAGAAAGGGACGGCUAAAUACGUGCCAGCAGCCGCGGUAAUACGUAUGUCCCGAGCGUUAUCCGGAUUUAUUGGGCGUAAAGCGAGCGCAGACGGUUUAUUAAGUCUGAUGUGAAAGCCCGGAGCUCAACUCCGGAAUGGCAUUGGAAACUGGUUAACUUGAGUGCAGUAGAGGUAAGUGGAACUCCAUGUGUAGCGGUGGAAUGCGUAGAUAUAUGGAAGAACACCAGUGGCGAAGGCGGCUUACUGGACUGCAACUGACGUUGAGGCUCGAAAGUGUGGGUAGCAAACAGGAUUAGAUACCCUGGUAGUCCACACCGUAAACGAUGAACACUAGGUGUUAGGAGGUUUCCGCCUCUUAGUGCCGAAGCUA